GAGCUGCAGCUGAACCUCGCUGGCGACGGGGCUCCGCGGAGAGAGGGAGAGAAAGAAAAGAGCGAAGGAGAGCCAGCUGUGAGUGCGUUUCCCGUUCCUGGCUCCUCCUAGGAGGCCUCGGCCUCAGUUCUGCAUAUUUUACUCCCGCGCUGGGAAACCCUAAACGACUCCAGCAGCCCGGCGCGCAGGGCUGUAACCUUCCCCCGUUCUCACGGAGACGCAGAGGCGAGGCCGUCCAGGAUCUCCAGGAGUGCCCGGUUUCCCUAACCUCCACCCCAGGUCCCAGGCAGGACCCCAGGCUGCGCUGGCAGGCAGACCCCGCCUCGGGCUGCUCUUUCCUGCGCUGUCGACCGCGAGGGCGUCUACCAGCUGCACGUCCAGGUGACCCUGGCCAGGUGCUGCUCCCAAGGGACACCAGGCACCGCAAUGCCACCCUGGCCGUGGGGCUCUGAACCCCGCCCCCCACAGAGUCAGCCUGCUGCGCCUGGGCUUGUCCAGGCCUGCACUGUGGCCUCUCAGCGCCUGACGCCCUCUGCGCCAACCUCAGCCCCCAGCGCCUGCCCUCCCCCAACACCGACAAGAACUUCUUGGGCAUCCACUCCUGACCACCCCCGGCUCGGCUGCUCUGCUUCUGUUUUCUGUAAAUGAAUGUGUUUUUCAAUUUCACCUUGACUUGCAUAUUUGAUGGGUGAGUCAAUGCCGGCACAGCUGGCUUAGAUGGGCAGGAGACGCCUCAGUGUUCCCAGGGCACCAAAAACAAACGCAGCCUGGUGUGGUAGCCUACUUCUCUUGCCAGCAACUCAGGAGGCUGAGGCAGGAGGAUCGUAAAUCCAGGGCAGGCCUGGGCAACGAAUGACUUAGGGAGACACUGUCUCCAAAAAUCAAAAUGGGUCGGGGGUAGAGUUCAGUGAUAGAGCGCCCCUGGGCUUGGUGCCAGUAAAAAAUAAAAAUUAUAAACCCACGCAAAGAACCUAAAGCAAAAUGAUGCGUAAAUAUGGUGUAAAAUCACAGGAAAAAAGAACAUUAAACAAGUAAAGGAUAUAAAUACGGAGAAGUGAUGACACAGGCCUCUUGACCCUGCAUUCUGGGAGGCUGAGACAGGAGAGGCCCAAGUUUGAGCCCAGCCUGGGCAACUUAGCAACUUAGCAAGACCCUGUCUCAAAAUAAAAAAUAAAAAAGGCCUGGGUUCAAUUUCGGGUAAAGAGACAGAGAGGGAG
Molecule: long non-coding RNA, 1217 nt
Filed under: Heterocephalus glaber (naked mole-rat)
Lineage: Eukaryota; Metazoa; Chordata; Mammalia; Rodentia; Bathyergidae
Description: lncRNA (ENSHGLG00100036490.1)
Source: RNAcentral